UACGUAGGGCGCAAGCGUUAUCCGGAUUUAUUGGGCGUAAAGAGCUCGUAGGCGGCUUGUCGCGUCGACUGUGAAAACCCGUGGCUCAACCAUGUGGUCUGCAGUCGAUACGGGCAGGCUAGAAUUCGGUAGGGGAGACUGGAAUUCCUGGUGUAGCGGUGAAAUGCGCAGAUAUCAGGAGGUACACCGGUGGCGAAGGCGGGUCUCUGGGCCGAUAUUGACGCUGAGGAGCGAAAGCGUGGGGAGCGAACAGG
RNAcentral lists this ribosomal RNA (254 nucleotides) under uncultured bacterium. RNAcentral's name for it is "partial 16S ribosomal RNA". It matches the Rfam family "Bacterial small subunit ribosomal RNA", at positions 524 to 776 of the family's 1533-position model. The record is from RNAcentral.